AUUUAAGUAGCUUAUAGUUAGAGUAUAGUAUUGAAGAUACUAGGGAGAUUGUUGAUGAUCUUUAAAUA
This 68-nucleotide transfer RNA is filed under the name Beybienkoa kurandanensis. RNAcentral describes it as "tRNA-Phe". Lineage: Eukaryota; Metazoa; Arthropoda; Insecta; Blattodea; Blattellidae. The record is from RNAcentral.